Molecule: ribosomal RNA, 376 nt
Filed under: Triticum aestivum (bread wheat)
Lineage: Eukaryota; Viridiplantae; Streptophyta; Magnoliopsida; Poales; Poaceae
Description: partial small subunit ribosomal RNA
Source: RNAcentral
AGCGUUCGGCCGGUCACACGCCGCGUCACGUACCUUUUGAUCGCUCCACGUGGGCAUCUGGGUCCAUCCCACCGCUUCCCCUUAUCCUUUUAUAUCCUUCCCUCGGUUUAGCACAUCCACUCGUUCCCCAAAUCUUCCUUCCCCAAUCUCUCUGAUUCUAAUCCCCUCUCACCGCAACCACUCCUUGCCGGCCAUGGUCAGCCAGACCACGGCAAUCUUCCCCAGCGAGCUGUCCUGCUUUGGUGCUCGCGCAGCUCCUCCCUCACCCACGCAUGCAGGAGGGUUGUGUGGUGGACUGGUGGUGCGGUGUUGCAAAUGGAGAGCGCAGGCGGCUAUGGGACGGGUGGUGUGGCAAGACGCUGCUGGAACAGCCAUG